Molecule: ribosomal RNA, 2165 nt
Filed under: Escherichia coli DEC14A
Lineage: Bacteria; Pseudomonadati; Pseudomonadota; Gammaproteobacteria; Enterobacterales; Enterobacteriaceae
Description: bacterial LSU rRNA
Rfam family: Bacterial large subunit ribosomal RNA
Source: RNAcentral
UUAAGCGACUAAGCGUACACGGUGGAUGCCCUGGCAGUCAGAGGCGAUGAAGGACGUGCUAAUCUGCGAUAAGCGUCGGUAAGGUGAUAUGAACCGUUAUAACCGGCGAUUUCCGAAUGGGGAAACCCAGUGUGUUUCGACACACUAUCAUUAACUGAAUCCAUAGGUUAAUGAGGCGAACCGGGGGAACUGAAACAUCUAAGUACCCCGAGGAAAAGAAAUCAACCGAGAUUCCCCCAGUAGCGGCGAGCGAACGGGGAGCAGCCCAGAGCCUGAAUCAGUGUGUGUGUUAGUGGAAGCGUCUGGAAAGGCGCGCGAUACAGGGUGACAGCCCCGUACACAAAAAUGCACAUACUGUGAGCUCGAUGAGUAGGGCGGGACACGUGGUAUCCUGUCUGAAUAUGGGGGGACCAUCCUCCAAGGCUAAAUACUCCUGACUGACCGAUAGUGAACCAGUACCGUGAGGGAAAGGCGAAAAGAACCCCGGCGAGGGGAGUGAAAGAGAACCUGAAACCGUGUACGUACAAGCAGUGGGAGCACAGAGCAAUCUGUGUGACUGCGUACCUUUUGUAUAAUGGGUCAGCGACUUAUAUUCUGUAGCAAGGUUAACCGAAUAGGGGAGCCGAAGGGAAACCGAGUCUUAACUGGGCGUUAAGUUGCAGGGUAUAGACCCGAAACCCGGUGAUCUAGCCAUGGGCAGGUUGAAGGUUGGGUAACACUAACUGGAGGACCGAACCGACUAAUGUUGAAAAAUUAGCGGAUGACUUGUGGCUGGGGGUGAAAGGCCAAUCAAACCGGGAGAUAGCUGGUUCUCCCCGAAAGCUAUUUAGGUAGCGCCUCGUGAAUUCAUCUCCGGGGGUAGAGCACUGUUUCGGCAAGGGGGUCAUCCCGACUUACCAACCCGAUGCAAACUGCGAAUACCGGAGAAUGUUAUCACGGGAGACACACGGCGGGUGCUAACGUCCGUCGUGAAGAGGGAAACAACCCAGACCGCCAGCUAAGGUCCCAAAGUCAUGGUUAAGUGGGAAACGAUGUGGGAAGGCCCAGACAGCCAGGAUGUUGGCUUAGAAGCAGCCAUCAUUUAAAGAAAGCGUAAUAGCUCACUGGUCGAGUCGGCCUGCGCGGAAGAUGUAACGGGGCUAAACCAUGCACCGAAGCUGCGGCAGCGACGCUUAUGCGUUGUUGGGUAGGGGAGCGUUCUGUAAGCCUGUGAAGGUGUACUGUGAGGUAUGCUGGAGGUAUCAGAAGUGCGAAUGCUGACAUAAGUAACGAUAAAGCGGGUGAAAAGCCCGCUCGCCGGAAGACCAAGGGUUCCUGUCCAACGUUAAUCGGGGCAGGGUGAGUCGACCCCUAAGGCGAGGCCGAAAGGCGUAGUCGAUGGGAAACAGGUUAAUAUUCCUGUACUUGGUGUUACUGCGAAGGGGGGACGGAGAAGGCUAUGUUGGCCGGGCGACGGUUGUCCCGGUUUAAGCGUGUAGGCUGGUUUUCCAGGCAAAUCCGGAAAAUCAAGGCUGAGGCGUGAUGACGAGGCACUACGGUGCUGAAGCAACAAAUGCCCUGCUUCCAGGAAAAGCCUCUAAGCAUCAGGUAACAUCAAAUCGUACCCCAAACCGACACAGGUGGUCAGGUAGAGAAUACCAAGGCGCUUGAGAGAACUCGGGUGAAGGAACUAGGCAAAAUGGUGCCGUAACUUCGGGAGAAGGCACGCUGAUAUGUAGGUGAAGCCACUCGCGGAUGGAGCUGAAAUCAGUCGAAGAUACCAGCUGGCUGCAACUGUUUAUUAAAAACACAGCACUGUGCAAACACGAAAGUGGACGUAUACGGUGUGACGCCUGCCCGGUGCCGGAAGGUUAAUUGAUGGGGUCAGCGCAAGCGAAGCUCUUGAUCGAAGCCCCGGUAAACGGCGGCCGUAACUAUAACGGUCCUAAGGUAGCGAAAUUCCUUGUCGGGUAAGUUCCGACCUGCACGAAUGGCGUAAUGAUGGCCAGGCUGUCUCCACCCGAGACUCAGUGAAAUUGAACUCGCUGUGAAGAUGCAGUGUACCCGCGGCAAGACGGAAAGACCCCGUGAACCUUUACUAUAGCUUGACACUGAACAUUGAGCCUUGAUGUGUAGGAUAGGUGGGAGGCUUUGAAGUGUGGACGCCAGUCUGCAUGGAGCCGACC